GGUCUAGUAGAUCAACGGCAGAUCGUCAGAUUCCAGUCCUGAAGGUUGCGUGUUCGAAUCACGUCUGGAUCA
Molecule: non-coding RNA, 72 nt
Organism: Pelagophyceae sp. CCMP2097
Lineage: Eukaryota; Pelagophyceae
Source: the annotation of a GenBank genome assembly